UACUCAUUGACUGUUAAUGGAAAAUGUUGACUGCCAAAUGUCAUAAUCCUAUUGGAUGUUAAAAUUGUAUACGAAAAUUCACGUCCAAUAUGAUUAUGACAUAUGACAGUUAACGUUACCCAUUAACAGUCAACGUCCAAUAAAAUUGUGACACAUAACAGUCAACAUUAUUCAAUAACAAUUAAUGUUC
This 190-nucleotide microRNA precursor is filed under the name Glycine max (soybean). Its description in RNAcentral is "miR1521 stem-loop (gma-MIR1521a)". Lineage: Eukaryota; Viridiplantae; Streptophyta; Magnoliopsida; Fabales; Fabaceae. The record is from miRBase by way of RNAcentral.